GCUGUCUUGUUUUUAUUCAGUGAGUUGAGUGCUGGUUCGGUCGAACCAGACUGUUUAUUACGUUUUUCGAAGGUUACAAGCAUUAUUGAACAAAUAACACAACGUUCUCGUGGAAGUGGAUUUCCGAAGAACAAAAUUUCAUGACGGUAUUGCGAUUUCCAAAAUUUGUGUUUGAUGUCUGCUCAUAACUCCCUUCACGGAUGCAGAGGGCAUCCACGAACUUGGCUUACUGCAUGCCCCACACGUCGGCCUCUAUUGAAAGAAUU
Armigeres subalbatus is the source of this 266-nucleotide long non-coding RNA. RefSeq lists it as uncharacterized. Lineage: Eukaryota; Metazoa; Arthropoda; Insecta; Diptera; Culicidae. The record is from RefSeq and is a predicted model, not a curated record. The transcript is spliced from 3 exons.